Molecule: ribosomal RNA, 301 nt
Filed under: uncultured bacterium
Lineage: Bacteria
Description: partial 16S ribosomal RNA
Rfam family: Bacterial small subunit ribosomal RNA
Source: RNAcentral
CAGCCGCCACGGUAAUACGAAGGGGGCUAGCGUUGCUCGGAAUGACUGGGCGUAAAGGGCGCGUAGACGGUUCGCUAAGUCUGUUGUGAAAGCCCCGGGCUCAACCUGGGAAUGGCAAUGGAUACUGGCGAGCUAGAGUGUGUCAGAGGAUGGUGGAAUUCCCGGUGUAGCGGUGAAAUGCGUAGAGAUCGGGAGGAACAUCAGUGGCGAAGGUGGCCAUCUGGGACAACACUGACGCUGAGGCACGAAAGCGUGGGGAGCAAACAGGAUUAGAUACCCCCGUAGUCCCUGUCUCUUAUAC